Rhagoletis zephyria (snowberry fruit fly) is the source of this 1258-nucleotide long non-coding RNA. RefSeq lists it as uncharacterized. The record is from RefSeq and is a predicted model, not a curated record. NCBI's taxonomy places the organism in Eukaryota, Metazoa, Arthropoda, Insecta, Diptera, Tephritidae.
AAAUUUUGUGUGUGAAAAUUUGGCGAUGAAAAAUUGGGAUUUUGAUUAAAUUUUCGCAUAGAAAAAUAGAAAUAUGUGUAGAAAACUAUUAUAUUCGGCGAAAGGAACAUACAUGUGUUAAAAAAAAGUGUGAAAUGGUGAAAUGAAGCAUCAAAUCUAACCGAGUGGUUAACUCGACUGCUCCGCCUAGCAUUGUCAGGGGAUUUGGUUCAUAUAACUUUCGGUGUUACAUACAUAUUUUAGUAAUGAGACUCCACUGGCCAUAGAAUUGGGAAGGGGCGCUUGGAACUUGGAAGUGAAUUUUAAUGUGAAAGAAAGCAAAAGUGGUGGAAGCAUAGAAAAAGCAGAAAAAAGACUGGUUAUGCAGCGAAAAGAAGACAACACAAGGCGAAGAGCUUGUGAUAACAACAACAAUAAACACAACGUAAACAAGAACAAAGUUAUGAUUAGGGCGAAUUGAAAUGUUAAAGCACGAUUGAUAAUAGGAAAAGGUGUGAAAGAAAAGCAAACGAAAAAGAUCUUGAAAGAAAAUCGAAAAGACGAGCAGCUGGUGGCUCAGUCUUCACUGCUGCUGCUCUGCUUUUUGAACUGGUUGUUGGAGACUACAACAGCGCUGCUUUGUGUCAUCGUCGACGCACUCACGACCAGCGUUAUUGAACCCAUCCGUAUCGUUGGUUUCUGUUGAGUUGGGCUGUCGCGGUUAUUACUCGCUGCCUGCAAUCCCGUUUGGUCGGUUCUCGUUUUGUUUUGCAUCAACCUUCGUGUUAUUGUCGUCCCUUGCUCAGAGUUUAGGUGGGGGCCAGUCGAAUAACCAAAAAGGAAAUCAAAUACCCCCAACAUUAGUGAAAGGCCGCGCAGACAUCGAGGACGUGCUUGUAAAAUUGCAUCAACAACGGGCUCGCUUAUGGAGCUCAUCGUCUGGGACUUGAAAACAAAAGAAUAGCAAAUAAGUGUAGAAAGACUAAAUAAUUAAUACCGUGGUGGUCUGUCAGUAUCGUCGCCGAAGUUGUACGGGAUUUCUUGUCGGUAAUUAUUUAAAGAAACGGAUUCAACACAAUAUUAUUUGCUUAUUGUAAAAUAAAUGUACAUACAUACAUAAUUAUAAGAAAACUUAACUAAGUGAGUAGAAUUUCGCCUUUACUAAUGGUUUUACGCGAAGACACAUGCGCACACACACAAAAAUGCAUACAUUCAUCAACUAACACAUAAUCGUACGAAAAAGUUAAAUCAUCCGUCGUGUCGCGUACAAAAAAAAAAA